ACUCCUGCGGGAGGCAGCAGUGGGGAAUUUUGGACAAUGGGGGCAACCCUGAUCCAGCAAUGCCGCGUGAGUGAAGAAGGCCUUCGGGUUGUAAAGCUCUUUUGUCAGGGAAGAAACGGUAGUAGCGAAUAACUAUUACUAAUGACGGUACCUGAAGAAUAAGCACCGGCUAACUACGUGCCAGCAGCCGCGGUAAUACGUAGGGUGCAAGCGUUAAUCGGAAUUACUGGGCGUAAAGCGUGCGCAGGCGGUUGUGUAAGUCAGAUGUGAAAUCCCCGGGCUCAACCUGGGAAUUGCAUUUGAGACUGCACGGCUAGAGUGUGUCAGAGGGGGGUAGAAUUCCACGUGUAGCAGUGAAAUGCGUAGAUAUGUGGAGGAAUACCGAUGGCGAAGGCAGCCCCCUGGGAUAACACUGACGCUCAUGCACGAAAGCGUGGGGAGCAAACAGGAUUAGAAACCCUGGUAGUCCCAUGA
RNAcentral lists this ribosomal RNA (474 nucleotides) under uncultured organism. RNAcentral describes it as "partial 16S ribosomal RNA". It matches the Rfam family "Bacterial small subunit ribosomal RNA", at positions 335 to 800 of the family's 1533-position model. The record is from RNAcentral.